AUGGUGGAAUCAGAUCAGCCUGGCAAGCUUUUCAUUGGUGGCCUCCGUUUAGAAACCAAUGAAAAGAUGCUUAAAGCAGUAUUUGGGAAAUAUGGUCCCAUACUGGAAGUUCUUUUGAUAAAUGAUUGGGAAACCAGCAACUUCAGAUGCUUUGUACUUAUUUUGAAAACCUGCAGAUGCUAAGAAUGCUGUCAAAGAUAUGAAGGGAAACUCUUUGGAUGGAAAAGCAAUAAAAGUAGAACAAGUCAAGAAAACAUCUUUUCAAAGUGAUGGUAGGUGGAGAUCACCACCUUCCUGGAGAAACAGGAGCCCUUCAGGAAGUCUGAGAUCUGCAAGAGGAGGUAGUAGAGGACAAGAGGGUUGUGUCCCUCAUGUGAAGGACAACUGGGUAAUAAUUCAUACAAGUUCCCGGGACACCAGGGAUUAUGCUCCACCAUCUAGAGAUUAUGGAUACCAUGAUUACGGUCAUUCUAGUUGGAAUGAACAAUCCUCUAGAGCAUAUAGUGACUGUGAUGGCUGUGGUGGGGGCCGUGGUAGAGAUCCUUUAGUACAUCCCAGUGGAAGUUCUUACAGAAAUGCAUAUCAGAGUUAUGGGACCUCUCCUGGUGAACAACCUGCAUGAGAGCCUUGGAUGAGUUAUGGUGGAAGUAGUCACUAUGAUUAUAACAGUACAUGAGAUAUAUAUGGCAGAAGUCAGGAGAGUUACUCAUGAAGCAGUGGUGAUUUAUAUUCCUGUGGUCAUGAGCGCGGUGGCAGAAAGGAAUGAAGGAAUCUACCUUCUGUGGAUAGGGUGCACCCUGCUGCUGGUGAAGGAUACAGUAGCUCAAGUUAUGGGGCAUCUACAGCAAGUGGUGAGGGAAAACAAGGUGAAAAAGGAGGCUGAAGCAGAUAUUAA
Molecule: long non-coding RNA, 895 nt
Filed under: Homo sapiens (human)
Lineage: Eukaryota; Metazoa; Chordata; Mammalia; Primates; Hominidae
Description: non-protein coding lnc-CDY1B-11:1
Source: RNAcentral